This 406-nucleotide ribosomal RNA is filed under the name uncultured bacterium. Its description in RNAcentral is "partial 16S ribosomal RNA". It matches the Rfam family "Bacterial small subunit ribosomal RNA", at positions 30 to 526 of the family's 1533-position model. The record is from RNAcentral.
AUUGAACGCUGGCGGCAGGCCUAACACAUGCAAGUCGAACGAGUGGCGGAAGGGUGAGUAAUGUCUGGGAAACUGCCCGAUGGAGGGGGAUAACUACUGGAACCGGUAGCUAAUACAGCAUACGAUGGGAUGUGUCCAUAUGGGAUUAGCUAGUAGGUGGGGUAACGGCUCACCUCGGCGACGAUCCCUAGCUGGUCUGAGAGGAUGACCAGCCACACUGGAACUGAGACACGGUCCAGACUCCUACGGGAGGCAGCAGUGGGGAAUAUUGCACAAUGGGCGCAAGCCUGAUACAGCCAUGCCGCGUGUAUGAAGAAGGCCUUCGGGUUGUAAAGUACUUUCAGCGAGGAGGCGUUACUCGCAGAAGAAGCACCGGCUAACUCCGUGCCAGCAGCCGCGGUAAUUC